Molecule: long non-coding RNA, 656 nt
Filed under: Homo sapiens (human)
Lineage: Eukaryota; Metazoa; Chordata; Mammalia; Primates; Hominidae
Source: RNAcentral
GCCUGCGCCGGACUGGAGAGCGCGGAGGGCCGACCUGACCCGCCGAAAGGGCCUGAGGCGAGGGGAGCCCGGGUCCCGGGGCCUUGGGGAAGGACCCGCAGCCGCACGCCGGCCCCAAGUGCAAAGCAUUGACACGACCCCGAGCGGAGAGGGGGCGCCCUCCUUCUCCCGCGCCCAGAGGCCCGGCCGCUCUGGCCCGAGCCCCAGCCUGGCCUCCGACCCAGCUCCGGGUCGUGGCGCCGCCUGGGGGUCCCUGCGCCCCGGAAAGAGACAGCAGGCACUGGAAAGCGAGGCCGGUGGGCGGGCGAGUCGGGAGGCUCGGGCGGCCGAGGUCCGGGAGCGGAUCCCAGGUGGCGGGAGCUGGUGCCCUGGCAGGAGGGACUGGCUUAUGCCACCCUGUGCAGGAUCGUCUUCUCAGCUUACAGAGCCUAGUGUGAUUCAACAACCCUCCAUCUCUGCCCCCAACAUGCCCAACUGAUCUGGUGGAGGGAACUGAAGAUGAAGGCCUCUCAGGCACCAUGGAUGGGAUGGGUGUGUGUGAAGGGGGCAGGGUCCCCAGGAGCUGCCCCAGGUCUGGCUGGACAGUUGCACGGGAAGUCCUGUUUGUGAACUCAACGUUUCCACGGCUUUUCCAUUAAACUUUACCCCAAAUCACA